UUUUAGUUCGGGAGAGAGUCCGGGAGAGAUUUCCGCGAGACAAGGUUCAGGGAUGCUGCUUUGUAUGGAAGGGGAGAGGGAAGGCUGGAAGAUGGUUUUUCGAAACCAGAAUGAUUCGGCCAAUGACAAUCCUCAGAUUUCCGAGGACAGCCGACGAGAUUUGGGAAAUGACGUACUUCCUGUAAGUACGUUUGACUCCACUUUCCCUGAUCUGAGGAUUACUAAGUUUGCUCACUUUGUUCGUGACUGCAGAAAAUAGUGGAAGUGCGCGUGCUCGUUUCACUAAUUCUAAAGGUCAUAGUAAAACUGUAAAGUAGUAAACCAAAGGUAGCGUGUUGUGCGUGUGUGUGUUCGAGUUACAGUUACCCGUUCUCCCGCAGGCAAUUCGGAAAAGCCGCUUUAUAUGCCGCUCAAAGAGCUCGUAUUCAACAUCCGCAGCACGAACAGCAAAAUCACCCGUAGAGACGGUCAUCAGCAGCAGCCAACAAAUUUGAACCAAUAGUUGGUGAGUCCGUUCCAAGCUUUUUUUUUGUGCGGUGGGUGACGUCCGGUGAGGACGUCACGGAGUUUUUUAUAUAUUGCCCUAAGUCGGGAUGAAACGGACGGCGAGGAAAGUUCGCGUCCGAGACAACCAUUAAAAGGUGAACUGCAAUUGCCGAGCGUCAUUGUCGACGUCGCCAUACAAUGCGCUCAAUAGAUAAAUAAAAGACCCCGGGGUAACAAAAGCUCGAAUAAGCACACACUUACCUUAGAAAGCUUUCAAACUAGAAUUCAAAUGGAAAGGAAUAGGAUAGCAGGAGUUAGGAAACAAAUGUGAAUUCGAAUAAAUUAUAUGUUACUUGUUCAAUGAAAUUGGUACUUUACGCAAAUAUAUGUUGGUGUCGAAUGCUAGCAAGGAAGGAAGCUUUGAUAACGUGAAUGCAUUUUAAUGUUGCAUAUUAUGAAUUGUGUCGUGAUCGUUUCGUUCUGUCUGUGGCGAAUGAGAUUUUCCAUUGUUUGCGCUUUCUCUGGACGGGUAGCGGCCUGGCCCAUGAUGAGCGUUAUUCAGGCAUGAGUGGAGUCUACUGAAUUCUUUGAGGUUUAAAUCUGUUUGAUGGGGGUUUAAUUGAAAGUCUUGUUUUGGUUAGAAUUCCGUGGCCUGGCUGGAGCGAUCCGUACUUUCAUUACGGAAGUAGUGUACUUGAACUCGCCCUAAAAGGGAGUCUCAACCGGGCAACUUUAAUCUUGGCGGGCAGUCUCCUUCGGGAGUGGCGCUUAAGCUGCACGCUUGUAGAGGAUCGGCCAGCCC
Long non-coding RNA from Toxorhynchites rutilus septentrionalis, 1288 nucleotides. RefSeq lists it as uncharacterized. The record is from RefSeq and is a predicted model, not a curated record. Lineage: Eukaryota; Metazoa; Arthropoda; Insecta; Diptera; Culicidae. The transcript has 3 exons.